Molecule: non-coding RNA, 546 nt
Organism: Diceros bicornis minor
Lineage: Eukaryota; Metazoa; Chordata; Mammalia; Perissodactyla; Rhinocerotidae
Source: the annotation of a RefSeq genome assembly
AUGGUGACUAUUAUUGGCAGAGCAAGAGACUCAUCCAGCCUAACCUCCCCACUUUUCCUAGCUCCGAAGGCUCAGUGACCUCAGCUGCUGUCCUCCCUGCUCCUCCUCCGGAGCCUGCAGCGUUUCCACUGCUCAGCCUUGCUCCUGCUGCUCAUCCCAGUGCUUGAGAUGGUUUUUGCCCUGAGAGGGACCGGAGCCCAGUCGGUGACCCAGCCUGACGUCCACAUCACUGUCUCUGAGGGAGCCCCUCUGGAGCUGAGGUGCAACUACCGGUUUUCUCUUCCGUCAUCUCUCUUCUGGUACGUGCAAUAUCCCAACCGAGGACUCCAGCUUCUCCUGAAGUACAUAUCCGGAAACAGCCUUGUUUCAGGCGUCAAAAGUUUUGAGGCUGAAUUUAAGAAGAGUGAAACCUCCUUCCACCUGAGGAAACCUUCAGCCCAUUGGAGCGACUUGGCCGAGUACUUCUGUGCUCUGAGUGACACACCAUGCCUGGAACUGCAGGGGGAGCUGAACACAAACCUCCUGAGACACUGGAACUUUCUGUGA